ACGUUUCUUUUUUCUCUCUGGCCGUCUCGCGUUCUCUCUCUUUACUUCUCUGCUGCGUUCUUUUAAUUCUGCUCCUUCUCAUCGUUCUUGGCCGAUCUUCACCUCAUCUUCAUACAAAUCUCAGAAUAGGCAAAUUCAAAUUGCAAAUCCAGCCACUUGCUUCGAUUUUUCCCCAAUGGAAACCCAUGUGAAAAUUUCCCAUUGAAGAAAAACAAAGAAGAGAGGUCAGAAAUCAACAUGAACAGAGACAGUUCUCUUAAAGCAACUUCAAAAUUUUCUGAGCAAAGUCAACUUCCUGUUAUAAAUGGUAAAGGUAAUGGUCAAUUGAUGUAUAAAAAGAAAGGGUCGAAGAAGACGCAACAUGAUUCAAGUGUUAAAAAUGGGAAGCCAUCAAGUGUGUUCAAGAGGAGAGUAUUUUGCUUCUCAAAAUCCUUUUCUGAGAAUAGGCAUUUGCACCCAUGAAUGGAGGAACUGCUUUUGAGUUACCUGAUACAAACUCCUGAAGGCAACCAUUUGAUGCUCAGAGAUACUUUUCACAUUGUGAAAGUGAUUGACAGGACUGUGUAUACCUAAAUAGAGAAAAGGAGCAAGUUGAGACAAUUUUCCUUCAAUUUUUCUCACUCUAUUACUGCUGGUGUCAAUGCUUCAGCCAAGACAGCAGCUGGAGCCUGCCCCAUUACUGUAGUCGAAUAGCCAUAGCUUUUCUUCUUUUCUUUGUUGGACGUAUGUGUAAUUAGGUGUCAUAGCUCUUUUUUUUCUUUUUUCUUUUUUUUGAUGGGUCUUCUUCUUUUCUCUUUUGGAAGUAUGUGGAAUUAUAUUUUUUUGGGGUAGCUAGGGGGGUGAAAUCUAAUUGAAAACAAAAUGUUCUCAGUGAAAAAGAGAGAAGUAUUAUGACAUGUAAACUUUUUUUUAGUUGAGAAGAAAAAUGAGAAUGUAGUAAAUGUAAUAAUGUGCGAAUUUA
Molecule: long non-coding RNA, 961 nt
Organism: Quercus lobata
Lineage: Eukaryota; Viridiplantae; Streptophyta; Magnoliopsida; Fagales; Fagaceae
Exons: 3
Source: RefSeq, a predicted model, not a curated record